AGAGUUUGAUCCUGGCUCAGGAUGAACGCUGGCGGCGCGCCUAACACAUGCAAGUCGAACGGCACCUAUCUUCGGAUAGAAGCGAGUGGCGAACGGCUGAGUAACACGUGGAGAACCUGCCCCCUCCCCCGGGAUAGCCGCCCGAAAGGACGGGUAAUACCGGAUACCCCCGGGCGCCGCAUGGCGCCCGGGCUAAAGCCCCGACGGGAGGGGAUGGCUCCGCGGCCCAUCAGGUAGACGGCGGGGUGACGGCCCACCGUGCCGACAACGGGUAGCCGGGUUGAGAGACCGACCGGCCAGAUUGGGACUGAGACACGGCCCAGACUCCUACGGGAGGCAGCAGUGGGGAAUCUUGCGCAAUGGGGGGAACCCUGACGCAGCGACGCCGCGUGCGGGACGGAGGCCUUCGGGUCGUAAACCGCUUUCAGCAGGGAAGAGUCAAGACUGUACCUGCAGAAGAAGCCCCGGCUAACUACGUGCCAGCAGCCGCGGUAAUACGUAGGGGGCGAGCGUUAUCCGGAUUCAUUGGGCGUAAAGCGCGCGUAGGCGGCCCGGCAGGCCGGGGGUCGAAGCGGGAGGCUCAACCCCCCGAAGCCCCCGGAACCUCCGCGGCUUGGGUCCGGUAGGGGAGGGUGGAACACCGCGGUGUAGCGUGUGGAAUGCGACAGAUAUCGGGGUGGAACACCGGUGGCGAAGGCGGCCCUCUGGGCCGAGACCGACGCUGAGGCGCGAAAGCUGGGGGAGCGAACAGGAUUAGAUACCCUGGUAGUCCCAGCCGUAAACGAUGGACGCUAGGUGUGGGGGGACGAUCCCCCCGUGCCGCAGCCAACGCAUUAAGCGUCCCGCCUGGGGAGUACGGCCGCAAGGCUAAAACUCAAAGGAAUUGACGGGGGCCCGCACAAGCAGCGGAGCAUGUGGCUUAAUUCGAAGCAACGCGAAGAACCUUACCAGGGCUUGACAUAUGGGUGAAGCGGGGGAGACCCCGUGGCCGAGAGGAGCCCAUACAGGUGGUGCAUGGCUGUCGUCAGCUCGUGUCGUGAGAUGUUGGGUUAAGUCCCGCAACGAGCGCAACCCCCGCCGCGUGUUGCCAUCGGGUGAUGCCGGGAACCCACGCGGGACCGCCGCCGUCAAGGCGGAGGAGGGCGGGGACGACGUCAAGUCAUCAUGCCCCUUAUGCCCUGGGCUGCACACGUGCUACAAUGGCCGGUACAGAGGGAUGCCACCCCGCGAGGGGGAGCGGAUCCCGGAAAGCCGGCCCCAGUUCGGAUUGGGGGCUGCAACCCGCCCCCAUGAAGUCGGAGUUGCUAGUAAUCGCGGAUCAGCAUGCCGCGGUGAAUGCGUUCCCGGGUCUUGCACACACCGCCCGUCA
Molecule: ribosomal RNA, 1369 nt
Filed under: uncultured bacterium
Lineage: Bacteria
Description: 16S ribosomal RNA
Rfam family: Bacterial small subunit ribosomal RNA
Source: RNAcentral